GGUAAAAUUAUGUAGGAUGUAAUAAAUAGUACAUGUAUUAUGUAUAAACAGGCGAAUAGUGCCGGUAUAGUUCAGAUAUUAUAAUUCUUAAGAGUGAAAUAAGAGCUAAUCUGAACCAUUUAAAUAUUAGGCCGGUUAUAGUGAAACAUAUGGUCAAACUAAAUCCAACAUGAGAUAUUUAGUAUGGAAUCAGUAGAGAUACAUAAGAUAACACACAGAAAAAAAGUCCUCAAAAAUAUCACUACAGGAUACUGAGAUAUCACGUCAUAUUUACUGGCGGAAAAAGUAUUUUCCAAUGUCCGUUAUCAUGCACCGUGUGCUAUUUUUUCUCUACUUCCGGUAAGAAGUAAACAUGUCGUAUUUCGCUGUCAAAUUGUUUGGAACACACUCUGUUCGAAGAAUACUGGUUAUUGUCAAGUGAAUCGUGCAUGUGCUGAGGAGAACUGUGUUAUUUGCGACAUGAAAGAUGAACGUAAAAUAGCAACAUUGGGUGAAAAAAUGUGUAGAUAGUUAAUUUCUGCAGCCAGAAAUAAAGGAGAACAAAUGUAUGUUAGACCUGAGAAAAUUGUGUGCUAUGAGUGUAGAAAAAUUACUGCCACCCGAACCUACUUUGAGAUGCAAACGGUACCUCUAUAACAUAGCGAAACGGUCACAUUGAUCUGACUUCGUUUCAUUUCAAAUGCCUGUUCUGGGGUACAGAUGUCAAACAAAAUUACAAAAAGGCAUAUGAUGAUUUCCAAAUUUCAGUCAACAAUAAAGAAAAAUUGGAAGCGAAGUCUUCUGUUGACUCUAAUCCGUACAUGAUCUAACAGCAGUUGGUGCAAGAUAUCAUCAAAAAUGUAGCACACAUUUCAGAACAGGAUGUCAAGUUCCGACUCUACAUCAAACACCUCAAAAUACUGUAAAACGUAGUAAAGGUAGACCAGCAAAAGAAUCAUCUGAAGAGGCAUUUUUGAAAACCAUGCAUUAUUUUGAAAACACGAAAGUGAGCAAAUAGCUUAAAUUAUUAAAUGAUCCUAGGCAGAGUCUUUGUAAAUAAACACUCUUAACAUGAUGACAUUGAAACAGCUGGUAGUAUAUCAUUCAUAAUUAUGUUUGUACAAAGGUAAAACAAAUGAAACAUUAAACACAUUGAGGUACAGAAAAUUCAUUACUAAGGCAACAAGCACAUCGGUAGUAAAGAUACAGAGCCUAACUCCUACAGAGGCAACUGCAAAGUUUCAUAGUUUUAGAGUGCACUGCCAUUAAAAUAGAGACAUGAAAUGGAAAGGAAACGAGCCCUCUUGACUUGGGAUGGUACAAACGUGGUGAUAAACUUGUUCCUUGGCACAGAGGUUGCUCUACUGGGAUGGCUGUAGAUGUCAUGACAUUAACACUUAACUGACUAUCAUAAUCUUGAGAGAGCAAUGAAAAGUUUUUCGAACAUACUAACUUUAUAAUAGAGCAUAUUUUUACAGUAUAUCGCAUCGCAGAGUUUUGUUCUCACAUUUUUGUACAUUUGCUGUUAGCUGAAAAUUGUAGUUUAGUAACGAUUUUAAAACAGUUUUAACAUUUUACUGUAGUGACCUGUUCUAUAUAUACUAUAGUACAGUCACUGUUGAUCUGGGAUUCUUUUCCUGAAUUUUUCUUAAUAUUUUUUUAUUAUUAUACUGUUGUUAUUAUAACAUUUAUUACAUUUAGUGCGAGUUUCAAGGAAAUAGUUUAAAGAUAUUGCAUGCACGUUUUAUUGAUGGGUGGACCCGCCCGCUUAGCUCAUUGGGAAGAGCACCGAUCUACGGAUCACGAGGUCGUGAGUUGGAUCCUCGGGCGGGCCGUAUGUUCUCCAUGACGACUAGAUAAAAGACAUUGUUUCUGAAAUCAUUCAUCCUCCACCUCUUAUUCAUGUGGGGAAGUUGGUAGUUACUUGCGGAUAACAGGUUUGUACAGGUACAGAAUCCAGGAACACUGGUUAGGUUAACUGCCUGCCGAUACAUAACUGAAAUACUAUUUAAAAACGGCGUUAAAUCCAACACAAAUAAAAUUGAUGGGUGGGGUAAAUCUAUAGUGUAAAUUAAUGCAUUUAUUAGUAAAUGUCACAACAAAGCUUAGUAUCAGCUUUAGUUUAUGUGAUAUUUCAUAUAAUCAAUGCCUCUGAUCGAAGAAAUAAACCAGCGUAUAGGUUUAAACUAAUGUUUGUUACCUAAUGAAUGAACCUCUUGAUUCGUCUGAAUCAUUGAAUUGCAAAGAGGGUGCCCUUCAUAAUCUCAUUUUUUAAGAUUUUCCAAUGGGAAUUUUUUUGAGGACUUUUUUUCUAAAAUGCUCUAAUGUUUAAAGAUUAUAAAACAAUAAAAACAUUUCAUGUUGGAAUUUGUUUAACCUUUUGACAUAAUAUGUGGUAAUAUGACCGGCCUAUAUGCAUAAUUUGAAGCUUUUAGUAUUUAUGCUUCUCACAAUGGUUGAACAAUUUUGGAAAACCUUAAUUUAUCAAGAAACAAUUUUUACAGUUUAGUACGGAUGAACUUGAAAUUCGAAAGAAAAUCCUGUAUACAUAUGAGCAUUUUGAAAAGUCAUCAAUCUUUUGAUAGCCCGCCCGCUGAUUAACUCAAUAGGGGGAGUGAAUAUCUACGGAUCGCAGGGUCCUGAGUUCGAUCCGCGGACGAGGCGUAUGUUCCCAGUGACGAUUUGAUGAAAGAAUUUGUGUCUGAAAUCAUUUGUCCUCUACUUUUGAUUCAUACAGGAUUCAUACAUGUAGGGAAGAUGACAGUUACUUGCAGAGAACAGGUUUUUACUGGUACAGAAUCUAGGAACACUGGUUAAGUUAACUGCUCGCUGUUAAAUACUAAACUGAAAUACUGUUAAAAUGGCGUUAAAUAUAAAACAAACACACAAAAUAUUUUUUGACUAUAUGGAAUUAAUUAACCAUUUAUUUUACACACAGUAUACUUUAAACGCAUAUUAACAUUUUACGUAAGUAUUGAUUACAGAAUACCUGUUUUUGCUUUCUUUUCAACUGGCUCAACUUCUUUUUGAUUCGUAGCAGUUCUUUUAGCAGAGAAACCUAAUAUAACAGAAAUUUACAUGAAAACACUGUUCGUCAAUUAUCAAGCUAAGAUUUACGUAAAGUAAUUCAGUGUUGAUAAAAGGGACAUACAUGCACAAAAACAGUUAGAAUUUUCAAAUAUGUAACACCUAUUUAAUUCUAUAAAUCGGUAAAAUCAAGCUCGCUGAAUUCAGAAAGUAUUCUGGCAAUAUUGAUAUAAACUUUGUCAUUGAACGUCAAAUUUCAGUAUCGACAUGUCAAUCUAAUAUUGUAUGACGUCAAUUGCUAUGUCAUAUUGACGUGUACCGUUUCCUUGAAAAGUUAUUUACAGGGGUACAAACAAAAUAUCGUUUAUAAAUGUAAGUCAGUAUGCAAUAAAAUAUUAGCUUUGCCUUGAGGAAUAUGCACUCGUUAUCCUAAAAUCAUGCAAUUUCUUUCCUUUGAAAUUCGUGCAGAUUUCUUGAUUCAAACCUAAUAACCUUUAAAUUUAGCAUUAUUGUCAGUUUUUAUGAAUGGUAAUUUCUUUAGCUCUGAAUUAAAUACGGCAUAUAGUCUUACUUUCAAAACGCUAUUUAGAUAAACCUUUUAUUAUGGAUGAACUUAAAACCGUCAAACUGUCUUAAAACCUUAAACCGUUCUCACUGUACUCUGCAAAGUAUAUUAUAUAAUUUUUCACCAUAUUUAGAGCACCUUCUUGUAAGAAGUGCAUUGUUGUAAAAUUGAAGUUACGAAAUCAGAUCAGAUUACAACAAUCUCGUAAAGUAGAUACUUUCCGUACGCAUAUUGUUCGGAAAUAUGUACAAAUGAAACACCUGUAAAUAUGAACAAGUUACAUUAAUGAUAAUAUCAAAUUAUUUGAAGCAAUUCUUAAACAAUAUUAUUAACUUCUACUUUACAUAAUCUUGCUCAACAUCAGAUUUAUAGAAAAUACGUACCUUUUUCGUUAAUUUUCUGAAUGCCAGCCUCCUGUAUUUUCUUUAAAUGAAAUACAGAUUGUUCUGAAAAUAAAUAGUUUUGAACAUCA
Long non-coding RNA from Mercenaria mercenaria, 4043 nucleotides. RefSeq lists it as uncharacterized. The record is from RefSeq and is a predicted model, not a curated record. The transcript is spliced from 3 exons. NCBI's taxonomy places the organism in Eukaryota, Metazoa, Mollusca, Bivalvia, Venerida, Veneridae.